CUUCAUUAUAAUCUUAUGGGAACCACUGUUGUAUGUGUGAUCUAUUGUUGACUGAAAUGUCUUUUUACAGCAUAUGACCACAUAGAUAAUGGAUAUAAGUGAUACUGGUGAAUAUGAAGACAACAGGAAGGAAUUAAUGCAGGAGAAGAAAUCUUAGAGAACAACAUCAUUGAAAGGAUAGACCAUUAAAAGGAUCUUUGUUGAAGGAGCAAUCAGAGAUGUCAGAGGAAAUUUUUUAAAAGGUGUUGUCAUAGACACCAAUGGAAGAGAAGAGAAUUUCAAGAGGAAGAGAGUUCUAAGUAGUGUUUGUGGAAAAUGUUUCCAGGGAGCCAAGUUGCACUUAUUUGAUUUGGUAACUAGAGGGUUAAUAAUGCCCUCAGGAAAGAGUGGUUUUAGUAGAGUGGUGGGGUGUUAAUGACAUUAGUAAGGGUAAAAGAGUGAAUAAGGGAUAAAGAAGAACAGAGAAUUAUAGAAUAAUCUUUCGAGAACCUUAGCUGUGAAGGGAAGGAAAAAGAUGAAAUUCAUUCUGCAUUUUCGUUAAUAGCAAAAAUAGCCUCUGAGUAAAAACCAUUUUUGCAAUCCUUGGUGACCAGAGUGAAUUUGCCAGAUCAACAAAUGUUCGUACACCCUUCUUUGAUUCUCAUAAAAUGGAGUGGGUAACUCCAGACAGCCUUCAUGGAGAUAAGACCACUAGAUUGUUACCAGGUUCCAGCAAGCCCACAGGACCGAGAAGAAACUGCCUUCACCUCAACAGCAAUUGUUGAGGAAACUGAAUUGGACUAUUUCUCCACUGCAAGGCAAGACGAUACCAUGAACUGGAUCACUGCACUAAUAGGUCGAUGAGAAAAUGACUUUUUCCUGGAGAAAUACAUCUCUUGUAAAAGGGAUUUUUACUUCGGUUUUUGCAGCUACCAGGAGGAGAAAUGUCAGUCUGCCUAGUCCGACAAGGAAGAGUGAAGUUUUUGCCUAGAGAUCUCAUUAACGGAGAACAGACAGGAUACAACAUCAAGAGCGAAAGGGCAAAUUCCACAGAUGAACCAGUGGCCCCAGAAGCAUCAACUAACUUUGUGACAUUUGAAGGUUGUUUGCUUUCCUUAAUUCAAUUGACUUUCAUCCUUACUGAGGUAGUGGGUUUGACUCAAGGGAGAGGAAGCACU
This 1157-nucleotide long non-coding RNA is filed under the name Homo sapiens (human). Its description in RNAcentral is "HSALNT0372802". The record is from RNAcentral. Lineage: Eukaryota; Metazoa; Chordata; Mammalia; Primates; Hominidae.